UUUGGGGGUUUAUGUUUUGGUGUAGGGAUGAGGGUUCGAGAUAAAUCUUGUUUAAGUAGUUUGGUGAGGUAAUGUUAAUUAGAGGCAUAUAAGUACUGAAGAGGAAUAAAAAUAGAUAAUAUAGGGGGUAGGGGGAGUUAAGUUUUGUACCUUUUGUAUAAGGGGUUGUUGAAUGAUAAGGAUGAAUUUUUUUUUCUCGAAGACUUAAGAGCUAUUUAUUUAAGGUUGGGUUGAUGUUGCAUAAUCAUUCUUGUUAUGAAUAAAUAGAAGUGAAAUGCUAUUCGAUUAGGUGGAUAUCUGGUUUUUGAUUAAAUAACUUUAGGUUAGUUAAUGGGUGGAUUAGAGUUUCAUUAUAGUAAUCUUUUGGGGAUUAGCUUGAGAGGUUUGAGGUGGCUUUGUAAAAGUAGAUUUAGAGUUGAGUGUUAGACUUGAAAUCAGUCAGUAUGUCGUUGUAGAUGGUUAAAUGGGUUUGUUAGGUGUAGAGAAUGAAUUUAGUCGGGUUUGUUUAUUAGUUAGGAAUAAGUAAGAAAAAUGAUAGUAUUAGUAAGUAUAAUAAAAAUAGGAUUAGAGGGAUUAGAGGGCUAUAUGAAAUGGUAGAAGUAAUAGUUGUGUGGCUCUAAGGAAUUAGGCAAAAAUGUCUCCUGCCUGUUUAUCAAAAACAUGGUUUUUUGGGAAUAAUGAAAAAUCGGACCUGCUCUAUGAUGUUUUAAAUGGCCGCAGUAUAUUGACUGUGCUAAGGUAGCAUAAUAAUUAGUCUUUUGAUUAGAGACUGGAAUGAAAGGUUUGUCAAGGGGGUAGCUGUCUUAGGGUUAGAGGGUUGAAAUUGAUUUAAGUGUGAGAAAGCACUUAUUAUACUAAGGGACGAGAAGACCCUAUUGAGUUUUACGUGUGUUGAGAUGUAUUUUGUUUAAUGAUUGGUUAAACAUCAAAAGUAUAUGUUUUACUGGGGCGGUAAAGAAAGAGGAAAUCUUUUUAGAAAGUUGAGAUUAGGACUUUAAGAGAAAGAUAAUGAUCCAAUUAGUUUGGGUUGAUAAUAGGAUUAAAUUACCAUAGGGAUAACAGCGUAAAGUUAUUGGAGAGUUCAUAUUGAUGAUAGUCUUUGCGACCUCGAUGUUGAAUUAGGGUGGCUGUUUGGUGAAGGAGCUUUAUAAGAGAGUCUGUUCGACUAGUGAUACCCUACAUGAUUUGAGUUCAAACCGGUGUGAGCCAGGUUGGUUUCUAUCUUUAGUUGAGAUUUAGGGCUGGCUUUAGAUACGAAAGGACCGGGUGUGGCUUUUGGGUUAAAAAGUUGAUG
RNAcentral lists this ribosomal RNA (1294 nucleotides) under Damon diadema. RNAcentral's name for it is "large subunit ribosomal RNA". The stretch from base 599 to 1294 matches the Rfam family "Archaeal large subunit ribosomal RNA", at positions 1423 to 2796 of the family's 2987-position model. Lineage: Eukaryota; Metazoa; Arthropoda; Arachnida; Amblypygi; Phrynichidae. The record is from RNAcentral.